GGAAGAGAUUUCCUCUCUGAAUGGAGCCACAUCUUUCAUUUUAGCUUUUGAAUGCCAUGGCUUGAGGACAUGAAGUUUGAAGGUCUGGAAGCCAUUUUGCAGUCGCCGGGGAAAGGCAAAGUUGCAGGGAACAGCACGGAUGCCAACUCAGAACCGAGCCAUGUCUCCAGGCCAGUCAUAUCAACUUUCAAAGACCUACCUGUUCUUCCACGGAAAAAAAAAUUCCAAAUGCCUCCAAAAAUGACAUGUUCACUACAACAGGAAAUGACGUUCUACUGAAUAACCACAGUGCUCACUAUAAUCAGUCUACAGUCAAGCACAUGCCUCUGGUCUGGAGAUGCCAUGGUCGCCCAUCACAUAAAGUUCCUGCUAAUAACUUCUUCUUCUGGAAGAACUCCCCUCAUUCAAAAAUCAAGGAAAAGCAGAAAGAAAAUGUACGCAAAGAUACUACAAGAAAAUGAAUCACAUAUGACUCUAAAGCUCAUCUCAAAGCAGACCCAAAAGAAGUCAUGGUCAGACAAAAGGAAGAGGUAAAAUAUAAACUGACACUAUUCACAAAAUAACUUGAAUAACAAAAUAAAUAAGAAUGGGGAUCACAUUGGAAGCAGUGAACUGGGAAAUUGAUAUUGCUGGAAACUCAGUAAAGAACUAGGAGGACAGAAUCCAAAAAACAACAUUGUCAGCAAAUACAUAAUGCUUAUAUGUGCCUGGAACUAUUGUAAGUAUUUUAUAUACAUUUUAUA
Molecule: long non-coding RNA, 743 nt
Filed under: Mustela putorius furo (domestic ferret)
Lineage: Eukaryota; Metazoa; Chordata; Mammalia; Carnivora; Mustelidae
Description: lncRNA (ENSMPUG00000025645.1)
Source: RNAcentral